AACAGGGAUUGCCCUAGUAACGGCGAGUGAAGCGGCAACAGCUCAAAUUUGAAAUCUGGCUCUUUUAGAGUCCGAGUUGUAAUUUGCAGAGGGCGCUUUGGCUUUGGCAGCGGUCCAAGUUCCUUGGAACAGGACGUCACAGAGGGUGAGAAUCCCGUACGUGGUCGCUAGCUAUUGCCGUGUAAAGCCCCUUCGACGAGUCGAGUUGUUUGGGAAUGCAGCUCUAAAUGGGAGGUAAAUUUCUUCUAAAGCUAAAUAUUGGCCAGAGACCGAUAGCGCACAAGUAGAGUGAUCGAAAGAUGAAAAGCACUUUGGAAAGAGAGUCAAACAGCACGUGAAAUUGUUGAAAGGGAAGCGCUUGCAGCCAGACUUGCUUGCAGUUGCUCAUCCGGGCUUUUGCCCGGUGCACUCUUCUGCAGGCAGGCCAGCAUCAGUUUGGGCGGUGGGAUAAAGGUCUCUGACACGUUCCUUCCUUCGGGUUGGCCAUAUAGGGGAGACGUCAUACCACCAGCCUGGACUGAGGUCCGCGCAUCUGCUAGGAUGCUGGCGUAAUGGCUGUAAGCGGCCCGUCUUGAAACACGGACCAAGGAGUCUAACAUCUAUGCGAGUGUUUGGGUGUCAAGCCCGAGCGCGUAAUGAAAGUGAACGGAGGUGGGAACCCGCAAGGGUGCACCAUCGACCGAUCCUGAAGUUUACGGAAGGAUUUGAGUAAGAGCAUGGCUGUUGGGACCCGAAAGAUGGUGAACUAUGCUUGAAUAGGGUGAAGCCAGAGGAAACUCUGGUGGAGGCUCGCAGCGGUUCUGACGUGCAAAUCGAUCGUCAAAUUUGGGCAUAGGGGCGAAAGACUAAUCGAACU
RNAcentral lists this ribosomal RNA (856 nucleotides) under Curvularia ellisii. RNAcentral describes it as "LSU rRNA". It matches the Rfam family "Eukaryotic large subunit ribosomal RNA", at positions 67 to 941 of the family's 3401-position model. The record is from RNAcentral. Lineage: Eukaryota; Fungi; Ascomycota; Dothideomycetes; Pleosporales; Pleosporaceae.